This 377-nucleotide ribosomal RNA is filed under the name uncultured eukaryote. RNAcentral describes it as "partial 18S ribosomal RNA". It matches the Rfam family "Eukaryotic small subunit ribosomal RNA", at positions 592 to 976 of the family's 1831-position model. The record is from RNAcentral.
CAAUAGCGUAUAUUUAAGUUGCUGCAGUUAAAAAGCUCGUAGUUGGAUUUCGGGUGGGAAUGACCGGUCCGCCGUUUCGGUGUGCACUUGCUACGCCCACCUUGCUGCCGGGGACGUGCUCUUGAGUUCACGCUCGGGACACGGAGUCGGCGAGGUUACUUUGAGUAAAUUAGAGUGUUCAAAGCAGGCCUACGCUCUGUAUACAUUAGCAUGGAAUAACACGAUAGGACUCUGGCCUAUCUUGUUGGUCUGUAGGACCGGAGUAAUGAUUAAGAGGGACAGUCGGGGGCAUUCGUAUUUCAUUGUCAGAGGUGAAAUUCUUGGAUUUAUGAAAGACGAACUACUGCGAAAGCAUUUGCCAAGGAUGUUUUCAUUAA